RNAcentral lists this unclassified non-coding RNA (332 nucleotides) under soil metagenome. RNAcentral's name for it is "partial contains 5.8S ribosomal RNA, internal transcribed spacer 2, and large subunit ribosomal RNA". The stretch from base 1 to 120 matches the Rfam family "5.8S ribosomal RNA", at positions 35 to 154 of the family's 154-position model. The record is from RNAcentral.
GAUGAAGAACGUAGCGAAAUGCGAUAAGUAAUGUGAAUUGCAGAGUUUAGUGAAUCAUCGAAUCUUUGAACGCACAUUGCGCCCCUCGGUAUUCCGACGGGCAUGCCUGUUCGAGCGUCAUUUCAACCCUCAAGCACAGCUUGGUGUUGGGACUCGCGUUAAUUCGCGUUCCCCAAAUUGAUUGGCGGUCACGUCGAGCUUCCAUAGCGUAGUAGUAAAACCCUCGUUACUGGUAAUCGUCGCGGCCACGCCGUUAAACCCCAACUUCUGAAUGUUGACCUCGGAUCAGGUAGGAAUACCCGCUGAACUUAAGCAUAUCAAUAAGCGGAGGA